GAUGAACGCUGGCGGCGUGCUUAACACAUGCAAGUCGAACGGGAAUUAUUUUCUUGCUCCUUCGGUCGACUUAAUUUAAUUCUAUAGGCGGACGGGUGCGUAACGCGUGGGUAACCUGCCUUAUACAGGGGGAUAACAGUCAGAAAUGGCUGCUAAUCCCGCAUAAGCGCACAGUGCUGCAUGGCCCAGAGCGAAUAACUCCGGUGAGAUAGGAUGGAGCCGCGUGGGAUUAGCUUGCUGGGAGGGGAACGGCCUACCAAGGCGACGAUACACAGCCGGCCAGUGAGAAGGAACGGACACACUUGGACUGGGACACAGUCCAGAAUCCUACGGGAUGCAGCAGAGGAGAAUACUGCAAAAUGGCGGGAGCGCAGAUGCAGCGACGCCGCGUGAAGGAAGAAGUAUCUGGGUAAGUGAACUUCGAUCAUAACGGAAUGUAUUGACGGUACCUGACUAAGAAGCCCCGGCUAACUACGUG
This 478-nucleotide ribosomal RNA is filed under the name uncultured bacterium. RNAcentral describes it as "partial 16S ribosomal RNA". It matches the Rfam family "Bacterial small subunit ribosomal RNA", at positions 28 to 507 of the family's 1533-position model. The record is from RNAcentral.